RNAcentral lists this ribosomal RNA (352 nucleotides) under uncultured fungus. RNAcentral describes it as "bacterial SSU rRNA". It matches the Rfam family "Eukaryotic small subunit ribosomal RNA", at positions 1326 to 1698 of the family's 1831-position model. The record is from RNAcentral. Lineage: Eukaryota; Fungi.
CGAUAACGAACGAGACCUUAACCUGCUAAAUAGCUAGGCCUAACAUUGUUAGGUCGCCAGCUUCUUAGAGGGACUAUCGGUGUUUAACCGAUGGAAGUUUGAGGCAAUAACAGGUCUGUGAUGCCCUUAGAUGUUCUGGGCCGCACGCGCGCUACACUGACAGAGCCAACGAGUACAUCACCUUGGCCGGAAGGUCUGGGUAAUCUUCGCAACAUGCAUCGUGCUGGGGAUAGAUUAUUGUAAUUAUUAAUCUUCAACGAGGAAUUCCUAGUAAACGCAAGUCAUCAACUUGCAUUGAUUACGUCCCUGCCCUUUGUACACACCGCCCGUCGCUACUACCGAUUGAAUGGCU